UACGUAGGGUGCAAGCGUUGUCCGGAAUUAUUGGGCGUAAAGAGCUCGUAGGCGGUUUGUCGCGUCUGCUGUGAAACCCGAGGCUCAACCUCGGGCCUGCAGUGGGUACGGGCAGACUAGAGUGCGGUAGGGGAGAUUGGAAUUCCUGGUGUAGCGGUGGAAUGCGCAGAUAUCAGGAGGAACACCAAUGGCGAAGGCAGAUCUCUGGGCCGUAACUGACGCUGAGGAGCGAAAGCAUGGGGAGCGAACAGG
This 252-nucleotide ribosomal RNA is filed under the name uncultured bacterium. Its description in RNAcentral is "partial 16S ribosomal RNA". It matches the Rfam family "Bacterial small subunit ribosomal RNA", at positions 524 to 776 of the family's 1533-position model. The record is from RNAcentral.